RNAcentral lists this ribosomal RNA (497 nucleotides) under uncultured bacterium. RNAcentral describes it as "partial 16S ribosomal RNA". It matches the Rfam family "Bacterial small subunit ribosomal RNA", at positions 28 to 507 of the family's 1533-position model. The record is from RNAcentral.
GAUGAACGCUGGCGGCGUGCCUAAUACAUGCAAGUCGAGCGAACAGACGAGGAGCUUGCUCCUCUGACGUUAGCGGCGGACGGGUGAGUAACACGUGGAUAACCUACCUAUAAGACUGGGAUAACUUCGGGAAACCGGAGCUAAUACCGGAUAAUAUAUUGAACCGCAUGGUUCCAUAGUGAAAGACGGUUUUGCUGUCACUUAUAGAUGGCUCCGCGCCGCAUUAGCUAGUUGGUAAGGUAACGGCUUACCAAGGCAACGAUGCGUAGCCGACCUGAGAGGGAGGACGGCCACACUGUAUGUGAGGCACGGUCCAGACUCCUGCGGGAGGCAGCAGUAGGGAAUCCUCCGCAAUGGGGGAGAGCGUAACGGAGCAACGUCGCGUGAGUGAUGAAGGUCUUCUGAUCGUAAAACUCUGUUAUUAGGGAAGAACAAAUGUGUAAGUAACUAUGAACGUCUUGACGGUACCGAAUCAGAAAGCCACGGCUAACUACGUG